This 253-nucleotide ribosomal RNA is filed under the name uncultured bacterium. Its description in RNAcentral is "partial 16S ribosomal RNA". It matches the Rfam family "Bacterial small subunit ribosomal RNA", at positions 524 to 776 of the family's 1533-position model. The record is from RNAcentral.
UACGUAGGGGGCAAGCGUUGUCCGGAAUCAUUGGGCGUAAAGAGCGUGUAGGCGGCCCGAUAAGUCCGCUGUGAAAGUCCAGGGCUCAACCCUGGGAUGCCGGUGGAUACUGUCGGGCUCGAGUCCGGAAGAGGAGUGUGGAAUUCCUGGUGUAGCGGUGAAAUGCGCAGAUAUCAGGAGGAACACCUAUGGCGAAGGCAGCACUCUGGGACGUGACUGACGCUGAGACGCGAAAGCGUGGGGAGCAAACAGG